Long non-coding RNA from Toxorhynchites rutilus septentrionalis, 1732 nucleotides. RefSeq lists it as uncharacterized. The transcript has 3 exons. The record is from RefSeq and is a predicted model, not a curated record. Lineage: Eukaryota; Metazoa; Arthropoda; Insecta; Diptera; Culicidae.
GGCCGUUUUCUUCACCUGCCCCGCUUAACGCGUUAAACCUGGCUUACGGUAAGCCUCGCUUAACGUUAAGCCGCACAUUUAAGCGAGGCUUAAAAAAUUACAUUUCUUCACCCCGGUUUAGCAAUCUGAGAGGCUCGCUUACCGUAAGCCGCGCUUAGGUAUAUUUCCCGUUUGGUCGCCCUAUUUUUCCAUUUGACCUGUCACUUUAAGCCGACGAUGAUUGUUUUGAUGUGAUACGCAAUCGAGAAAUUCGACAUUGAUCAUUAAUGAGGGCCAAUUUCGUAAAUCAUGUGUUUUUCUUUUCACAGUAAUGAUGAAUGUUUCCUUGAGAAUUACAUAUUUCUCAACACAUAACACCAGGAAACAGUCAUUUUUAUAAAUAAGACUUUGGCUCUUAUGAGAUAGUGUCAGUAGUAGAAGAAUUGAAUCUAUUUUUCUGUUUUUAACAACUCGUUGGGACUUUGAACAAAAAGAUGCGGAAGAAGAAUUGCUGCUGAGAUUAGCAUUGAAUAGAAAAGACGUAAUUGAAUGCAAGGUCAGCGACGUUAAAAGGAACGACGAUAAAGUUCGCAUGUGGGAGGAAAUCACUAGAGAGUUCAAUACGAGCUGCCUCAAUACGGUAAGUAUAAUAGUACUUCGUGUGCUAUUCACAAGUAAAUUUGCGUUUCUUCGUUACGCACGAUUUUAGUUUGAGCAAUCUGUAAAUUUUGAAUAUACUUCGAAUGCGAGCCAGACCUUUUUAAGGCCCAAGCACAAUGACAGCGACAGAGUGACACAGUGGUAGCGCGGCAAACCAGAUUUUAUUCAUCGUUCAGUGGCGUAGCCAGAAAUUCGGUCUAGGGAGGAUUUGUGUCGAACAAAUUUUAAAAAGAGGAUGUAAAUGAAAAUUUUAGGCUCUGGGGGAGGUUUUGACCUUAAGCCCCUCCCCCUGGAUACACUACUGAUCAAAUCAAAGUAGGAUUGAUGUUAUCUAAAACUAAUUCAACUUGAUUCAACUCUCAUUGAUAUUGGGCUGCCGAAACUGUCCCUGUUAUUAUGCGUGGGCAUUCAAAGCAUUAUGAUAUUUAUGAUCGGGUUAUGGCUCUAUCAAUACAAAUAUUUUUUUUUAUCAAUUUUAUCAAACAGGUGAGAACGCUGACAGUACUCAAAAAGAAAUAUGAAAAUAUAAAAAAGAACAUCCGUCAGGCGGUUUCAAAGGAGACAUUAUCGCGUAGAGCCACUGGUGGCGGUCGAGGCCCUGAAGAAUGGCGGCCAAAAUCAGAAGCGAUGGCUGAGCUACGAGAAGUAAUCGCGUUGUCUGUCGAUGGACUUCAAUCUCUUUGCGACGAUGAUGAUGAUGAAGAAACCGUUGCUGCUGCGCCAAAAGAAUCCACAACAUUGAUUGAGCCCGAGAUAGAUUCUCAGAUAGAGCCUCAUGCUGAAGUGGAAGCAGCAACGAGCUAUGGUUAUGAGGUUGAAUAUCUAGAUGACGAUUCUAGAUCUGCUAUCAACAAUGAGGUUGCAUGUGAUAAAGUGAUCGAAAGUGAUCACAUUGAAGGAUCAACCGGUGAUGAUCGAGAUCAACUAGCGAGUCCCAGCAAAAGUACGAGUUCUGUCCCAAAAUCUGGUGAUACAUGGGACAAAUACAGCCCCGCUAUGCUCAAACGGCCGAAAAGUAAUUUCCUUCAGGCAAAAUCGAAGCGCCAGAAGACCAUUGAGCAGGACCUUAAAAAGAAAAUUUUAGAACGCAAUG